AUUAACUCUUCAGUGGUUGUCUCAGGGAGGAUGGGGAAAUGUGUGGUGCUCAGAGCACUCCUUGUUUGGGAGAACUUUCACCAUUAUAUUUGGAAAUGCUCCCAGAGUAUUAUUCCAUCUGCACUCUCCUUGCAACAAUGAUCUUUCUCUUCCACCCUCAACAGAAUCAGGAUGAAAGGGUCCUGCCAUGCAUUUUGGUCUUUCCUUAUGUAUUCCAAAAACCACUUCUUAACAACAUCUUUGUUUCUGUAUACACUACACUCAAUGCACAAAGAGUUCAUUUGCUUUCUGAUGAUUUCUCAGGGAAGGACUUGUGUGGUUGCUGCUCCUUGACAGCGAGUGUCUGGGAAGUUUGUCCUUUGUGUAAGAACAGUGCUGCAAAGAGGAGAAAAAAAAAGAGGUGCUGAGUUUCCUGAUGAGGUGGGUGACAGAAGAACCCCCUUUUCCACACAGAGCCACACAAGAUUAAUUAUGUCCUUUCUGAGAAUCAGUCUGGUAGAGCCUGGAGAAAUAUCUCCUCAGAAAAGAAGGCACAUUUACUGCUGCAUUUCAUACACUGUGCUACUGUGUACAAACACAGAGGCUGUUAAAGGGGAAAAGUGAGGAUGAUGUGAUGGUCAUAUACAGUGACAUCUAGCAAUGAAGUGACCCAGAAAUGACACACUCAAAUGGUGCAGAAUGAGUAUAAAUUGGGUCAUAUUUUGUCUUAAGUAUUGCAAGUGGCUCCAUAUAAUGUAUCACUGGAAAAAGUAUCUGGUUUAUUUAAGUCUUAAUGCACUACUUUUUUUCUUUACUUAUUUCUUGAAUUCAUAAACCCCAAAACAAACCUGUAUUUUCAGUGCAAAGAUUUAGAUUCAGACUACAAAAGUGAAUUUAUCACUUUAGAUGCAAAAAAAGUUUUGUCUAAAAAGGGAGACUUACUAAUUUAAGAAGAAUCUGCAAAAGAAUACCUAAUUAAAGUGUUUUCUUUGGAGUUUUUUUUGAGAGAAAAAUGUAUGAGAGAUGACAUGUAUUUAAAUCUUUAAAAACCUAGUCUCUUCCAUGAAUUUUAUUUGAUUUCUGUAGUAUGAAACAUAUCCUCCUCUCGUUUCUCCCACUUUGUUCUAUGGCAGACACUUAAGUAAAAAUGCCUUUAUAUAAAACUAUCUAUUUGCUCAACCUAUUUUUUAAUCUGUUUCUUUACAACGUUUGAUGCAAAACUAGUGACUGUUUUCCUGAGAGAAAAUUGUUCAAAGUUCCAUUUUUAGUUGCUGAAUAUUAGCAGCACUCUGGCCAUUAAGGAUGGCUGCCUUAUUUUCAACUCCCAUUCUGCUCCUACCCAUUAUCGUUCUGGUUGCCAUGCAAGUGUGAUUUUAAACCUCCUGGUGUGACAAAAAACAGAGAUAGUAAAAGACCUGGUGAGUGUCUAGGAGUCAUUUAAGGAUAUACAGGUACUUUGAACAAUCCCAGCCUUCCUUCCUAGGAAUGUCCUUUCCUUGGAUACUCCCUUGCAUGAGCAGUUUGUGAUAACAAGGUCCCACACACGGAUCCACAUUCCCUCCACCAGUCAACAGAUGACUCCCAUUUUCUGGGGAUUUUAGUUUUGGUUUGUUUUUUGGGGUUUUUUUUAAAAUAGAAUCCCUUGACUACUACUAACAUGUAAUUUUGUUUCCCUGUUCUUCAGUCAUUUAGGAGGAGUGUCAAAACCCCUUCUGCAGAGAAUAUAGUUUACAGGGAUAUCCUUUUCUUUCCCUGUAUUUUUACAAACCACAUAGCAUGAAGCUUUUUCGGUCUUUGAAUUGUCUUUUUUGAAUUAUCUUUUUCAGUACUUUGAAUUGUGUGAAUUGUGAAAAAAUGUGAGAUUAUGAAGGAAAUUGUGAUUUAUACUACUCCAACUUAGGCUUCAGACCCACCUGUGCUCUUCUGUGAAAACCAGAAUACUCUUAACAUGGGAUGGUCAGAGUUUUCUCAUCUCAGAACUGUUUUGUUUUCUGAAAACCAAUGCAGUAACUGUUCUAAAUGACCCCAGAGACCUCCACCAGCCCUGGCUUGCCCUUUUCAGAGUGCUGUAUACACAAGCCUCGGGUGAUUCAUGGCAAGUAGAGAAGUUACAUACACAAGGAAGGGAAAGAAGGGUGUCUUUGAGAGCAGGCAGCUGUUUUGUGCUGGCUUUCCGCUGCGCUGUAUAGCCAAGGAGUGUGAAACAUAACAGCAGCAUCUCAAGUCUUGGCACAAAAUCCUGCUUUGUCUUCCUGAGAACAGUUGGGCCAUUAGUGGCCAUUCAGUCAGACAGAGCACGGCUGUCUCAGAGCUGGAUGGGGAGAGGCUGAUAGUGAGAAAAUGUUGUACUGGAGGAUCACACUGAGCAAUUGCUUGGCUCAGCUGUGUGAGAAUGGCAGCCCUCGCUGCAGGGCUGAUGGACGGCUGGAAGCCAAGAGGGAAAUCAGCACUUCAUAAAAGUUAAUGACCAAAGAUAUACUUCUUAUGAGUCCUGACCAUGGCAGGAUUCAAGUGCAAAGCACUGGACUAUUUCCUCCUCCAUUGCUCCCUCUUGUUUUGGACCGAUCUCCCUCUCUCUUUUUGUUAUUAUUACUGUUAGUUUGUAAAAUAUGCCAUUGUGACAAAGCCCUGAAUAAAGACACCCUCCAUUAUUUUCUUCCA
Molecule: long non-coding RNA, 2640 nt
Organism: Cyanistes caeruleus (blue tit)
Lineage: Eukaryota; Metazoa; Chordata; Aves; Passeriformes; Paridae
Source: Ensembl